Molecule: ribosomal RNA, 600 nt
Filed under: uncultured bacterium
Lineage: Bacteria
Description: bacterial SSU rRNA
Rfam family: Bacterial small subunit ribosomal RNA
Source: RNAcentral
CCUACGGGAGGCAGCAGUGGGGAAUCUUGCGCAAUGGGCGAAAGCCUGACGCAGCAACGCCGCGUGCGGGAUGACGGCCUUCGGGUUGUAAACCGCUUUCAGUGGGGACGAACCAAGACGGUACCCACAGAAGAAGCCCCGGCCAACUACGUGCCAGCAGCCGCGGUAACACGUAGGGGGCGAGCGUUGUCCGGAUUUAUUGGGCGUAAAGAGCUCGUAGGCGGUUCGAUAAGUCGGGUGUGAAACCUCCAGGCUCAACCUGGAGACGCCACCCGAUACUGUCGUGACUAGAGUCCAGUAGGGGAGCGUGGAAUUCCUGGUGUAGCGGUGAAAUGCGCAGAUAUCAGGAGGAACACCAGUGGCGAAGGCGGCGCUCUGGGCUGGAACUGACGCUGAGGAGCGAAAGCGUGGGGAGCGAACAGGAUUAGAUACCCUGGUAGUCCACGCCGUAAACGUUGGGUACUAGGUGUGGGGUCUUAUCAACGGAUUCCGUGCCGCAGCUAACGCAUUAAGUACCCCGCCUGGGGAGUACGGCCGCAAGGCUAAAACUCAAAGGAAUUAGACGGCGNGNGAAGUGCGACGACGACGACGAGGAGGAGG